RNAcentral lists this ribosomal RNA (253 nucleotides) under uncultured bacterium. RNAcentral describes it as "partial 16S ribosomal RNA". It matches the Rfam family "Bacterial small subunit ribosomal RNA", at positions 524 to 776 of the family's 1533-position model. The record is from RNAcentral.
UACAGAGGGUGCAAGCGUUAAUCGGAAUUACUGGGCGUAAAGCGUGCGUAGACGGUUAUGUAAGUCGGGUGUGAAAGCCCCGGGCUCAACCUGGGAAUUGCAUUCGAGACUGUGUAGCUAGGGUACGGAAGAGGGAAGCGGAAUUUCAGGUGUAGCGGUGAAAUGCGUAGAUAUCUGAAGGAACACCAGUGGCGAAGGCGGCUCGCUGGACCGGUUCUGACGCUGAUGCGCGAAAGCGUGGGGAGCAAACGGG